AAACAGGGCUACGUUUUGAUGUGAUCGGCGAAGCGCUGGGCUGUUUUCCCUGACGAUCGCCCCGAUUUGGCCGGCCGGCGGCGCCGCGUGAUCCUGACGCGCCAAAUUUUGGGCUGCGCGCCCCUCAGAAACGGAGGAUAUGUGACUGAAGCGGCACAAGAAAACCUGUUUCGACGCUAUGGAUGAAGAAUUUCAAGCCAGGUUCCUAACGACUGGGCGAGGUUGUCGCAGUUGGUACUGAGGUUCAGUCGCAGAAACAGUGACACUUACCUCCUUCCAUCUUGUUGCAGGUGGAAUGUAGAUUGUACAAACUCCCAGAUGUAGCUGAUAUUAGACCGGAGAGCGGAGCGGAGAUAUUGAAUGGUAGUGGUGCAGCCAGUUCCAUUAGCAUUAAGUUUGUUACAGAAUACUGUUGCUACCACAGAAAAUAAUAAGUAAGACUGUUGUUUUUGUAAAAAGUUGUUUACAAAUGCAUUAUUAGUAUUGAUUAAAUAAGGAGAAGUACAUGUACAGUGUGUACCUGCACUACGGUACAUCAAAGAAAUCUAUGUCGAUUGUAUGUAUCCUGAAGAUAGCCUUUGACCUUGGAAAAUGUUGAACUUAUC
This is a long non-coding RNA of Branchiostoma floridae (Florida lancelet), 605 nucleotides long. RefSeq lists it as uncharacterized. The transcript is spliced from 3 exons. Lineage: Eukaryota; Metazoa; Chordata; Leptocardii; Amphioxiformes; Branchiostomatidae. The record is from RefSeq and is a predicted model, not a curated record.